CAGUUCGGAUUGCAGGCUGAAACUCGCCUACAUGAAGCUGGAGUUGCUAGUAAUCGCGAAUCAGCAUGUCGCGGUGAAUACGUUCCCGGGCCUUGUACACACCGCCCGUCACGCCAUGAGAGUUGGCAAUACCCAACGUACGUGAUCUAACCCGCAAGGGAGGAAGCGUCCUAAGGUAGGGUCAGCGAUUGGGGUGAAGUCGUAACAAGGUAGC
This 214-nucleotide ribosomal RNA is filed under the name uncultured bacterium. Its description in RNAcentral is "partial 16S ribosomal RNA". It matches the Rfam family "Bacterial small subunit ribosomal RNA", at positions 1289 to 1500 of the family's 1533-position model. The record is from RNAcentral.